CCAAUAGCGUAUAUUAAAGUUGUUGCAGUUAAAAAGCUCGUAGUUGAACUUCGGGGUUUACUCAUUGGUCAGGCUUAAUUGUUUGUACUGGUGAGAUGAAUCUCUACCUUCUGAGGAACUUUCAUGCCAUUUAUUUGGUGUGAUUGGAAAUCAGGACUGUUACUUUGAAAAAAUUAGAGUGUUUAAAGCAGGCUAACGUCUGAAUACAUUAGCAUGGAAUAAUGAAAUAGGACGGAUUGAUUCUAUUUCGUUGGUUUCUAGGAUCACCGUAAUGAUUAAUAGGGAUAGUUGGGGGCAUUAGUAUUCAAUUGUCAGAGGUGAAAUUCUUGGAUUUAUUGAAGACUAACUACUGUGAAAGCAUUUGCCAAGGAUGUUUUCAUUAAUCAAGAACGAAAGUUAGGGGAUCGAAGACGAUCAGAUACCGUCGUAGUCUUAACCAUAAACUAUGCCGACUAGGGAUCGGACGAAGUUAAUUAAUAAUGACGCGUUCGGCACCUUACG
Molecule: ribosomal RNA, 501 nt
Filed under: uncultured Glomeromycotina
Lineage: Eukaryota; Fungi; Glomeromycota
Description: partial small subunit ribosomal RNA
Rfam family: Eukaryotic small subunit ribosomal RNA
Source: RNAcentral